CCUAUGGGAGGCAGCAGUAGGGAAUCUUCCACAAUGGGCGAAAGCCUGAUGGAGCAACGCCGCGUGGGUGAAGAAGGUCUUCGGAUCGUAAAACCCUGUUGUUAGAGAAGAAAGUGCGUGAGAGUAACUGUUCACGUUUCGACGGUAUCUAACCAGAAAGCCACGGCUAACUACGUGCCAGCAGCCGCGGUAAUACGUAGGGGGCGAGCGUUGUCCGGAAUGACUGGGCGUAAAGGGAGUGUAGGCGGCUCUUUAAGUUAUAUGUGAAAUCCCGCGGCUCAACCGUGGAAGUGCAUAUAAAACUGGGGAGCUGGAGUGCAGGAGAGGUGAGUGGAAUUCCUAGUGUAGCGGUGGAAUGCGUAGAUAUUAGGAAGAACACCGGUGGCGAAGGCGGCUCACUGGACUGUAACUGACGCUGAGGCUCUAAAGCGUGGGGAGCAAACAGGAUUAGAUACCCUUGUAGUC
Molecule: ribosomal RNA, 465 nt
Filed under: uncultured bacterium
Lineage: Bacteria
Description: partial 16S ribosomal RNA
Rfam family: Bacterial small subunit ribosomal RNA
Source: RNAcentral